Macrobrachium nipponense is the source of this 1128-nucleotide long non-coding RNA. RefSeq lists it as uncharacterized. NCBI's taxonomy places the organism in Eukaryota, Metazoa, Arthropoda, Malacostraca, Decapoda, Palaemonidae. The transcript has 3 exons. The record is from RefSeq and is a predicted model, not a curated record.
AUACCUGCGGACUUGGAAGUGUGUUAAUUUUGAGUGCUUGUGAAAUGAAAAGAGGAUUCCGGAAUCAAGAUUUGUUGGCCUGCAAGCAACAAGAAUUUCUUCUUCGGUGGACGCUAGGAAACGUGAAACAACAAUCAGCUAAGGACUAGCUUUGAAAAACAAAAUACGUUACAUGCUAAGGACUAGUUUUGAAAAACAAAAUAAGUUACAUGAUAGUAAACGAUGACGAUGGCUGCUGUUAAAUGGUGUUUGAAAAUUCAGCUAAGGACUUGACUUAGAGGCAAGGGAGUUGUUCUGGUCAAAUAGAUAUCGUCAUAAGGGCGGUAGAGGAAGAGAUGUUGGACCAGUGAAGGAAAGAGGAUUGACCAUUUCAUGCUGUGGGAAUUUGCAUUCUCCAAAAAAUCGCAAUAAUAAAGUAACUGGCAACAAUCCCAACCAGGAACAGUGAAGGGAAUAGGAUCGACAAUUUCCCGCUGUGUGGGAAUUCUCAUGGAAGAGAAGAGGACCCCGACCAUUUCCUGCUGUGGGAAUUCAUCAAAGAGGAAGAAGAGUACGAGAGGCAAGGCAUCAAAGAGGAAGAAGAGUACCCCGACCAUUGCCUGCUGUGUGGGAAUUCACUAUCUCCAAAAAAUGGAAAUUAUAGAAUCAACUGGAAACUAUUACAACCAAGGCUCGCUGUAGUCAUGAUUGAAUAAACAACCAAGGCUCGCUGUAGUCAUGUUUGAAUAAAUAAAAACAAGUCUUGUAAAAAUUAGGAAUUUUAUUAAUUAAAAACAAUUAUCCUAACUACUAAACCAAUUACUUUGAAGACUAAAGUAAGUUUCAAAGUUUUCCACAAAAUGCUUUCUUUGAAUACAUAACUAAUUUUUCAUUCUCUUUAAUACAAAACUGAGGUUUCGUGAAUUUUCUUAAAGGGCCUAGAGUAACCAGUUAAGCUACCGGUACUUUUCUUUCAAGUACUUUAUUCCUUUUUGAUGUCCUACCUCUGGUCCUCUCUUCCUCCUCUUUCGUGUCUUGCCUCUGGUCCUCUCUUUCUAUCUCCUCUUUCAUGUCUUGCCUCCGGUGCUCUCCUCUUCCUCUUUGAUGUCUUGCCUCUGCUACCCUCUUCUUCCUCUUUGAUGUCUUGAC